GCUUAUCCGAAUAUUCUAUUGGCAAAUUCUACCAGCAUUCAACUGACCAAUCAGCUAAUUUUAUGCCAAAUGUAAAUAUCGUGAUCGUGUCACAUUUAAAUACUUUCGAAAAUAAUUAUAUUCUCUGUACCAUAAAAUGGACGGUCGCCGUAAUAACCAAAAAUGUAGUUCAUUUUGUAAAAGCAUUAUUAUCAAAGAAGAAGGGAAAGGCACUCGUCGUGUGGAAAACUUAAAAGGUGGGCGACGCAUGCCUUUCACAUGCAUUAUAUUAUCCAUCAAACCGAAUUAAUUGAACUUAUCCGGACU
This 306-nucleotide long non-coding RNA is filed under the name Brassica napus (rape). RNAcentral describes it as "long non-coding RNA (BNAP_LNC026738)". The record is from RNAcentral. Lineage: Eukaryota; Viridiplantae; Streptophyta; Magnoliopsida; Brassicales; Brassicaceae.